RNAcentral lists this ribosomal RNA (497 nucleotides) under uncultured bacterium. RNAcentral's name for it is "partial 16S ribosomal RNA". It matches the Rfam family "Bacterial small subunit ribosomal RNA", at positions 28 to 507 of the family's 1533-position model. The record is from RNAcentral.
GAUGAACGCUGGCGGCGUGCCUAAUACAUGCAAGUCGAGCGAACAGACGAGGAGCUUGCUCCUCUGACGUUAGCGGCGGACGGGUGAGUAACACGUGGAUAACCUACCUAUAAGACUGGGAUAACUUCGGGAAACCGGAGCUAAUACCGGAUAAUAUAUUGAACCGCAUGGUUCAAUAGUGAAAGACGGUUUUGCUGUCACUUAUAGAUGGAUCCGCGCCGCAUUAGCUAGUUGGUAAGGUAACGGCUUACCAAGGCGACGAUGCGUAGCCGACCUGAGAGGGUGGUCGGCCACACGGGAACGGAGACACGGUCCAGACUCCUACGGGAGGCAGCAGUAGGGAAUCUUCCGCAAUGGGCGAAAGCCUGACGGAGCAACGCCGCGUGAGUGAUGAAGGUCUUCGGAUCGGAAAACUCUGUUAUUAGGGAAGAACAAAUGUGUAAGUAACUAUGCACGUCUUGACGGUACCUAAUCAGAAAGCCACGGCUAACUACGUG